Molecule: ribosomal RNA, 443 nt
Filed under: uncultured bacterium
Lineage: Bacteria
Description: partial 16S ribosomal RNA
Rfam family: Bacterial small subunit ribosomal RNA
Source: RNAcentral
CCUACGGGAGGCAGCAGUGGGGAAUAUUGGACAAUGGGGGCAACCCUGAUCCAGCGACGCAGCGUGAGUGAAGAAGUACUUCGGUAUGGAAAGCUCUAUCAGCAGGGAAGAAAGAAAUGACGGUACCUGAUUAAGAAGCCUCGGCUAACUACGUGCCACCAGCCGCGGGAAUACGUAGGGGGCAAGCGUUAUCCGGAUUCACUGGGUGUAAAGGGAGCGUAGGCGGCGAUGCAAGUCUGAAGUGAAAGGCGGUGGCCCAACCCCCGAACUGCUUUGGAAACUGGAUGGCUGGAGUGCAGGAGAGGUAAGUGGAAUUCCUAGUGUAGCGGUGAAAUGCGUAGAUAUUAGGAAGAACACCAGUGGCGAAGGCGGCUUACUAAACUGUAACUGACAUUGAGGCUCGAAAGCGUGGGGAGCAAACAGGAUUAGAUACCCGUGUAGUC